UACAGAGGGUGCAAGCGUUAAUCGGAUUUACUGGGCGUAAAGCGCGCGUAGGCGGCUAAUUAGGUCAAAUGUGAAAUCCCCGAGCUUAACUUGGGAAUUGCAUUCGAUACUGGUUAGCUAGAGUGUGGGAGAGGAUGGUAGAAUUCCAGGUGUAGCGGUGAAAUGCGUAGAGAUCUGGAGGAAUACCGAUGGCGAAGGCAGCCAUCUGGCCUAACACUGACGCUGAGGUGCGAAAGCAUGGGGAGCAAACAGG
Molecule: ribosomal RNA, 253 nt
Filed under: uncultured bacterium
Lineage: Bacteria
Description: partial 16S ribosomal RNA
Rfam family: Bacterial small subunit ribosomal RNA
Source: RNAcentral